UGACGGUAUCAUAUGAAUAAGCACCGGCUAACUCCGUGCCAGCAGCCGCGGUAAUACGGGGGGUGCAAGCGUUACUCGGAAUCACUGGGCGUAAAGAGCAUGUAGGCGGGUGAAUAAGUUGGAAGUGAAAUCCUAUAGCUUAACUAUAGAACUGCUUCCAAAACUGUUCACCUAGAGUAUGGGAGAGGUAGAUGGAAUUUCUGGUGUAGGGGGUAAGAUCCGUAGAGAUCAGAAGGAAUACCGAUUGCGAAGGCGAUCUACUGGAACAUUACUGACGCUCAGAUGCGAAAGCGUGGGGAGCAAACAGGAUUAGAUACCCUGGUAGUCCACGCCCUAAACGAUGUACACUAGUUGUUGCUAUACUAGAUAUGGCAGUAAUGCAGUUAACACUUUAAGUGUACCGCCUGGGGGAGUACGGUCGCAAGAUUAAAACUCAAAGGAAUAGACGGGGACCCGCACAAGCGGUGGAACCAUGUGGUUUAAUUCGACGAUACGCGAAAAACCUUACCUGGCCUUGACAUAGUAGGAAUCUUUAACAGAUUAGAAAAUGCUAGCUUGCUAGAACCUACUUACAGGUGCUGCACGGCUGUCGUCA
RNAcentral lists this ribosomal RNA (595 nucleotides) under uncultured bacterium. Its description in RNAcentral is "bacterial SSU rRNA". It matches the Rfam family "Bacterial small subunit ribosomal RNA", at positions 470 to 1057 of the family's 1533-position model. The record is from RNAcentral.